AUUUAAAAGCAUUGGCCACAUUGGAAGCAAAAUAAUAAUGAAUAAAGUUUGGCAAACCCAUUCCUCCCCUAGCUUUUUAAAAGUGGUCAAUUGAAUUCUGCAAGGCUUCCUAUUUCAUAUAAAUGUCAGAAGGUCUGAAUGAACCUUCCAAAAAAAUUAGAAUGGUGUAGUGAAGUGAAUCGCUCUGAGGAAAUAUAACAUUUUGGGAAGGAGACGUCAUUUCCCAAGCACACAGCCC
Non-coding RNA from Pelobates cultripes (western spadefoot toad), 238 nucleotides. The record is from the annotation of a GenBank genome assembly. Lineage: Eukaryota; Metazoa; Chordata; Amphibia; Anura; Pelobatidae.